UACGAAGGGGGCUAGCGUUGCUCGGAAUCACUGGGCGUAAAGGGUGCGUAGGCGGGUCUUUAAGUCCGGGGUGAAAUCCUGGAGCUCAACUCCAGAACUGCCUUUGAUACUGAAGAUCUUGAGUCCGGGAGAGGUGAGUGGAACUGCGAGUGUAGAGGUGAAAUUCGUAGAUGUUCGCAAGAACACCAGUGGCGAAGGCGGCUCACUGGCCCGGUACUGACGCUGAGGCACGAAAGCGUGGGGAGCAAACAGG
This 253-nucleotide ribosomal RNA is filed under the name uncultured bacterium. Its description in RNAcentral is "partial 16S ribosomal RNA". It matches the Rfam family "Bacterial small subunit ribosomal RNA", at positions 524 to 776 of the family's 1533-position model. The record is from RNAcentral.